RNAcentral lists this long non-coding RNA (291 nucleotides) under Bos taurus (domestic cattle). Its description in RNAcentral is "long non-coding RNA NONBTAT013654". The record is from RNAcentral. Lineage: Eukaryota; Metazoa; Chordata; Mammalia; Artiodactyla; Bovidae.
UUUUUUGCAGAGUUCAUUACCUCUCCUUCUUACAGCACUCAAUCAAUAUUUCUGAACCUUUAUCUCUAGAGAUAAUCACCAUAAGUUUGUAGAGUUUGUAGUCUGGUACCUAUAAGAAGAUGUCCUUUUGAUUUGGUCUCAUCUUUUCUUCACUCCUUUUUACCUAUACCUACUAGCAUUCCUCAACAUAUCAUUCUUCUUCAAGAUAAAGUUUUAAAAAAAUGGGUAUGAGAUACACCAAAGAAAAGAGAUGAUGGCUGACCUUCAGUGAAGGUGGGAAAUAGAUAGUGC